AAUAGAUACCCGGGUAGUCCACGCCGUAAACGAUGGAUGCUAGCUGGUAGGGGGUAUCGACCCCGUUCUGUAGCGAAGCUAACGCGUUAAGCAUCCCGCCUGUGGAGUACGGCCGCAAGGCUAAAACAUAAAGGAAUUGACGGGGACCCGCACAAGCGGUGGAUCGUGUUCUUUAAUUCGAUGAUAAACGGAGAACCUUACCAGGGCUUGACAUCCUUGGAAUUUCUGCGAAAGCAGUUAGUGCCUUUUGGAACCAAGUGACAGGUGAUGCAUGGCCGUCGUCAGCUCGUGUCGUGAGAUGUUUGGUUAAGUCCAUCAACGAGCGCAACCCUUAUGUUUAGUUGUUAUUUUUCUAAACAGACUGCCCCGGUAACGGGGAGGAAGGAGGGGAUGAUGUCAGGUCAGUAUUUCCCUUACGUCCUGGGCUAGAAACACGAUACAAUGGCUAGUACAAUGCGCAGCGAAGCCGCGAGGUGGAGCAAAUCGCACCAAAGCUAGUCCCAGUUCGGAUUGGAGGCUGAAACUCGCCUCCAUGAAGUCGGAAUCGCU
RNAcentral lists this ribosomal RNA (549 nucleotides) under uncultured bacterium. RNAcentral's name for it is "bacterial SSU rRNA". It matches the Rfam family "Bacterial small subunit ribosomal RNA", at positions 777 to 1336 of the family's 1533-position model. The record is from RNAcentral.